Molecule: ribosomal RNA, 493 nt
Filed under: uncultured bacterium
Lineage: Bacteria
Description: partial 16S ribosomal RNA
Rfam family: Bacterial small subunit ribosomal RNA
Source: RNAcentral
AUUGAACGCUGGCGGCAUGCUUUACACAUGCAAGUCGAACGGUAACAGGUUAAGCUGACGAGUGGCGAACGGGUGAGUAAUGCAUCGGAACGUGCCCGGUCGUGGGGGAUAACGCAGCGAAAGCUGCGCUAAUACCGCAUACGAUCUGAGGAUGAAAGCGGGGGACCGUAAGGCCUCGCGCGAUCGGAGCGGCCGAUGUCAGAUUAGGUAGUUGGUGGGGUAAAGGCUCACCAAGCCAACGAUCUGUGGCUGGUCUGAGAGGACGACCAGCCACGCUGGGACUGAGACACGGCCCAGACUCCUACGGGAGGCAGCAGUGGGGAAUUUUGGACAAUGGGCGAAAGCCUGAUCCAGCAAUGCCGCGUGCAGGAAGAAGGCCUUCGGGUUGUAAACUGCUUUUGUACGGAGCGAAAAGGUCUUCUCUAAUACAGGGGGCUCAUGACGGUACCGUAAGAAUAAGCACCGGCUAACUACGUGCCAGCCGCCGCAGUAA